Molecule: ribosomal RNA, 252 nt
Filed under: uncultured bacterium
Lineage: Bacteria
Description: partial 16S ribosomal RNA
Rfam family: Bacterial small subunit ribosomal RNA
Source: RNAcentral
UACGUAGGGACCGAGCGUUGUCCGGAUUCAUUGGGCGUAAAGAGCUCGUAGGCGGCUGCUCAAGUCGAAUGUGAAAACUCGAGGCUCAACCUCGAGCCUGCAUUCGAUACUGGGCGGCUAGAGUCUGGUAGGGGGAUCUGGAAUUCCUGGUGUAGCGGUGGAAUGCGCAGAUAUCAGGAGGAACACCGGUGGCGAAGGCGGGAUCCUGGGCCAGUACUGACGCUGAGGAGCGAAAGCGUGGGAGCAAACAGG